Molecule: unclassified non-coding RNA, 186 nt
Filed under: Spiroplasma sp.
Lineage: Bacteria; Bacillati; Mycoplasmatota; Mollicutes; Entomoplasmatales; Spiroplasmataceae
Also listed under: 1 other name
Description: 16S-23S ribosomal RNA intergenic spacer
Source: RNAcentral
UUUAGUUUCUAAUAAGAAACCAAGACAACAAGAAAAAUUAGAUGGAUGAUUUAUUGGAUUACUUCUUUUGUUCUGUUUAGUUUUCAGGGAUUGUUUUCUCUGAGCAAUUGUUCUUUAAAAACUGGAUAAUAGACAUCUUUUAAAAAAAAUAAGAUAAUUUUUAUCUUGCAAUAGGAUAUUCUAAAA